RNAcentral lists this ribosomal RNA (497 nucleotides) under uncultured bacterium. RNAcentral describes it as "partial 16S ribosomal RNA". It matches the Rfam family "Bacterial small subunit ribosomal RNA", at positions 28 to 507 of the family's 1533-position model. The record is from RNAcentral.
GAUGAACGCUGGCGGCGUGCCUAAUACAUGCAAGUCGAGCGAACAGACGAGGAGCUUGCUCCUCUGACGUUAGCGGCGGACGGGUGAGUAACACGUGGAUAACCUACCUAUAAGACUGGGAUAACUUCGGGAAACCGGAGCUAAUACCGGAUAAUAUAUUGAACCGCAUGGUUCAAUAGUGAAAGACGGUUUUGCUGUCACUUAUAGAUGGAUCCGCGCCGCAUUAGCUAGUUGGUAAGGUAACGGCUUACCAAGGCAACGAUGCGUAGCCGACCUGAGAGAGUGAUCGGCCAAACUGGAACUGAGACACGGUCCAGACUCCUACGGGAGGCAGCAGUAGGGAAUCUUCCGCAAUGGGCGAAAGCCUGACGGAGCAACGCCGCGUGAGUGAUGAAGGUCUUCGGAUCGUAAAACUCUGUUAUUAGGGAAGAACAAAUGUGUAAGUAACUAUGCACGUCUUGACGGUACCUAAUCAGAAAGCCACGGCUAACUACGUG